RNAcentral lists this ribosomal RNA (468 nucleotides) under uncultured bacterium. RNAcentral's name for it is "partial 16S ribosomal RNA". It matches the Rfam family "Bacterial small subunit ribosomal RNA", at positions 28 to 507 of the family's 1533-position model. The record is from RNAcentral.
GACGAACGCUGGCGGCGUGCUUAACACAUGCAAGUCGAACGGAAAGGCCCUGCUUUUGUGGGGUGCUCGAGUGGCGAACGGGUGAGUAACACGUGAGUAACCUGCCCUUGACUUUGGGAUAACUUCAGGAAACUGGGGCUAAUACCGGAUAGGAGCUCCUGCUGCAUGGUGGGGGUUGGAAAGUUUCGGCGGUUGGGGAUGGACUCGCGGCUUAUCAGCUUGUUGGUGGGGUAGUGGCUUACCAAGGCUUUGACGGGUAGCCGGCCUGAGAGGGUGACCGGCAACAUUAGGCCUAGGAUACGGCCCAGACUCCUACGGGAGGCAGCAGUGGGGAAUAUUGCACAAAGGGCGGAAGCCUGAUGCAGCAACGCCGCGUGCGGGAUGACGGCCUUCGGGUUGUAAACCGCUUUCGCCUGUGACGAAGCGUGAGUGACGGUAAUGGGUAAAGAAGCCCCGGCUAACUACGUG